This is a long non-coding RNA of Salmo salar (Atlantic salmon), 2515 nucleotides long. RefSeq lists it as uncharacterized. NCBI's taxonomy places the organism in Eukaryota, Metazoa, Chordata, Actinopteri, Salmoniformes, Salmonidae. The record is from RefSeq and is a predicted model, not a curated record.
UGAGUGAGUGAGUGAGAAAGAUAAGAGCUACAAGAAGAGCAGAGUUUUUUGCUCAGUUGUUGUUGUUGAAGCACUACCAUUAGCUCUCACCAGCCGGCCCUGGAAAUUCCUAAGAAAUUCUCCUCUGCUGCUGCACUUGAGACCUACAUUCCUACUAUGUGUGAGUACCCGUCUUUCCUGGACACACACACACAGUACAGAACAGAUCAACAUGUAGAGCGUCAUGAUAAGUAGUCAGUAUGCUUGCUGUUUGGGGUUUUAGGCUGGGUUUCUGUACAGCACUUUGAGAUAUCAGCUGAUGUAAGAAGGGCUUUUGAUUUGAUUAAGUUUGAUUUAGAGUUUGGCUAGAUGGUUUGGUUUUAGGCUGACUUUGGGUUUAGACGCUUCCUAACUUCCAAAAAUCUCCUAACCCAAAUAAUGUUGAGUGUGAGUGUGAGUUUGAGAGACAGUGGCCGUGUCUGAAUACCCAUACUACCAUACGAAAAAGUAACGUUUUAUAGUAGGUGAAUUUCGAAAAUAGUACUCUGAAUGCAUCAUCUAAUGUGUGAUUGUGAUGACUCCCGCAAUUCGUUCAUUUUGUUACAGCGGGCCAAUUUCUGGAAUCUUUUAUUUCAGCUCAUGAAACAGGGGACCAACACCUUACAUGUUGCAUUUAUAUUUUUGUUCAGUAUCAACAAGUUUCCUGGGGAGGUCACUGGGGAAACGAUUAAGGGUGACAAUUCCGGUGGAAGUAGCGAAGUACGGAGUUGACCGGCAGUAUUUUUGAUUUUAGAAGCUAACAAACUGGGAUAAGCAAUAAUAAAAUAUUAACUCGCUAGAUGUUAAAAUGUUAUGGAGCUCGGGGACAACAUGUGCUGUUCAUGGUUGUACAUACAAACAGACAAAAGUUAAUGAUUGGCUUAAAUUGGAGUGCUUCGACCAUGAACCCAAAGCUAAAUCAGAAUGUUCCUGUCAGAGAUGGUAUAGUUUCCAUCGCACCCCAAAUGACGACGAAGCAUAAAGAAAUUGGCUCAAAAACUUAAACUUAAAAAAGCACCCCAAAAAGUUGUGUGUUUUGCUCUUUUCAAUUUGUUGAUAAGACACAAACACGGGAUAACCCAUACCCAAAGCUCUUUCUGGGUUAUGAGAGGCCACCAGAGAAGAGAUGCCGCCUUUGCAGGAGGGUUGACAGACAUGUCACAAGAACAGAAUCUUACCCAAUAAUCUCAUGAACUAAUCAUCACCUGCAGAUGAGCCUGGUGUGGUGGAGGUUUCUGAGGAGCCAGGUCCUAUUUCAAAGACCUUCCUUGAUGCCCAAACACAGUGGUCAGACCCAGCAAUGGAGGACCACACCUACUCCAAAGGACCUAUCAUCACAUGUGGCAUGACGACCUCACCAGCCCGAGAGGUCACUGUCUGUUGCAGAUGUUACAUUGAAAGAUGAUGCAGACUGUCUGCUGUACACAGGGAUCCCACUACUAGAAUUCAACACUCUUGUGUCUCGUUUACAAGGUUUUGCCCCCACAUCAUCAACAAUGCCAGUUGUAGACCAAAUUCUGUUGACACUAAUGAAACUUAGACAGAACUUUGUUAUAGCCGAUUUAGCAAGACGCUUCAAAAGGUCACCCGGUCAGGUCAGUAAAACAUUGAAAUUCUGGAUAGAUGUCAUUGCUGAGCACACCAAGGAUCUCAUUCCAUUGCUGCCUUGUGAGACGAUAAAGGCUACUAUGCCACAGGUAUUUCAGGAGAACUUUUCAAACACAACUUGUGUUACUGACUGCACAGAAGGUGUAGACUCAAGAACUGAAUCUUACAGUCACUACUAUGCCAAUAAUACUGUAAAAUAUCUAGUUGCACCUACUCCAUCAGGAAUAGUUAUGUUCAUUUCAGAGGCUUAUUGUGGGAAAUGUAGCGAUAGGUUCAUAACACAGAACUCAGGGUUUCUCGACCAUUUGCGUGCUGGAGAUGAGGUGAUGGGGGACGGUGGCUUCACAAUUAGGGACUUGCUAGAGGAACGGAAUGUAUGCUUGGUCUUAACAGCAUUUCCACGCAAGAAAUGCCAGUUGACAAAUGAGCAGGUCACUCACACACAACGGAUUGCUAAUGUCUAUAUUCAUGUGGAAUGAGCAAUAAUGCGUUUUAAGGUGUGCAAGAUUAUCUCACAAACUGUGCUUAUUAGUUUGGUCCCUAAAAUUGACAACAUACGUAAAAUUUGUGCAGCUCUUGUAAAUCUGAGAGGAAAGCUUAUUUCUAGCAAAUAGACACAAUGUCUAACACAAUCAACAUGACUAACAACAUGCACUGAUCGUUUAUGUAUUCCAAAAAUGUGCAUCACUUUAUUCCUAUUAAUGAACUGCAAAACAUUGUCAGCAUUUGUAACAUUCUUUUAUUCCAGCUGUAUUUGUUGUAAAUCAUUGUUUUGUCAUUAUUUUGUUAGCUCACACAACUGCCUGUACCAACUUGGCUAUUUUAACUGGUUCUGUCCUAUGAAAAACUGACUUUGUCCUAUGAAAAAUAAACUGGUGAGAGAUCAUUA